AGUGAACGCUGGCGGUAGGCCUAACACGUGCAAGUCGAACGGCAGCACAGGAGAGCUUGCUCUCUGGGUGGCGAGUGGCGGACGGGUGAGGAAUACAUCGGAAUCUACUUUUUCGUGGGGGAUAACGUAGGGAAACUUACGCUAAUACCGCAUACGACCUACGGGUGAAAGCAGGGGAUCUUCGGACCUUGCGCGAUUGAAUGAGCCGAUGUCGGAUUAGCUAGUUGGCGGGGUAAAGGCCCACCAAGGCGACGAUCCGUAGCUGGUCUGAGAGGAUGAUCAGCCACACUGGAACUGGGACACGGUCCAGACUCCUACGGGAGGCAGCAGUGGGGAAUAUUGGACAAUGGGCGCAAGCCUGAUCCAGCCAUACCGCGUGGGUGAAGAAGGCCUUCGGGUUGUAAAGCCCUUUUGUUGGGAAAGAAAUCCAGCUGGUUAAUACCCGGUUGGGAUGACGGUACCCAAAGAAUAAGCACCGGCUAACUUCGUGCCAGCCGCCGCGGUAA
RNAcentral lists this ribosomal RNA (506 nucleotides) under uncultured bacterium. Its description in RNAcentral is "partial 16S ribosomal RNA". It matches the Rfam family "Bacterial small subunit ribosomal RNA", at positions 29 to 523 of the family's 1533-position model. The record is from RNAcentral.